CUACUUUUACUUCUUAUAUAUACAAUCACUUUCUGGUCUAUCGUCAGGAGGACUUAUGUUACUUCCAUUGAUAAUAUCCCACAAGUCUUCACCCAUAAGGUAUGAUUCCAUAUAUGUUUUCCAUAACUUUUACUUGGACCAAUUUAGCAACUUUAUUCCAUUCCAUUACAAUGACAAUUAAAAUUCAUGGUGAGAAAUUAGUUGAAUCUAUUACUAACCCGAUCUUGAAUAAUAUCCAGAAUCUAAUGUGUGGCUAUGACUUCGAUACCAUGUAAAGAAAUAGCAGAAGAAAGGUGUAACUGGAGAGACCAUAUGCUAGCUCAAGAACGUUAACUAAAAUUGAAAGAUUCAACUACGAAGAGGAGGCUAUAAAGGUAAAGAAAGAUAUUGAAAGGAAGAACUUG
RNAcentral lists this long non-coding RNA (404 nucleotides) under Capsicum annuum. RNAcentral describes it as "long non-coding RNA (CANN_LNC009903)". The record is from RNAcentral. Lineage: Eukaryota; Viridiplantae; Streptophyta; Magnoliopsida; Solanales; Solanaceae.